Molecule: ribosomal RNA, 470 nt
Filed under: barley rhizosphere bacterium CLB40
Lineage: Bacteria
Description: bacterial SSU rRNA
Rfam family: Bacterial small subunit ribosomal RNA
Source: RNAcentral
CUCAGGAUGAACGCUAGCGGCAGGCUUAACACAUGCAAGUCGACGGGUAUAUUUCUUCGGAGAUAGAGACCGGCGCACGGGUGCGUAACGCGUAUGCAAUCUACCUUUUACAGAGGGAUAGCCCAAAGAAAUUUGGAUUAAUACCUCAUAGCAUUACAUGACAGCAUGGUAUUGCAAUUAAAGUCACAACGGUAAAAGAUGAGCAUGCGUCCCAUUAGUUAGUUGGUAAGGUAACGGCUUACCAAGGCUCCGAUGGGUAGGGGUCCUGAGAGGGAGAUCCCCCACACUGGUACUGAGACACGGACCAGACUCGUACGGGAGGCAGCAGUGAGGAAUAUUGGACAAUGGGCCCAAGCCUGAUCCAGCCAUGCCGCGUGCAGGAUGACGGUCCUAUGGAUUGUAAACUGCUUUUAUACACGAAGAAACACUGGUUCGUGCGGAGACUUGACGGUAUCGUAAGAAUAAGGAUC